CUUAACACCUUAGGGCUUGCCGA
Molecule: non-coding RNA, 23 nt
Filed under: Cricetulus griseus (Chinese hamster)
Lineage: Eukaryota; Metazoa; Chordata; Mammalia; Rodentia; Cricetidae
Source: RNAcentral